Molecule: small nucleolar RNA, 90 nt
Organism: Diceros bicornis minor
Lineage: Eukaryota; Metazoa; Chordata; Mammalia; Perissodactyla; Rhinocerotidae
Product: small nucleolar RNA SNORA1
Exons: 1
Source: RefSeq, a predicted model, not a curated record
AGCUUUAGUCGUGUGGCUAUAUUGAGACAUAGGUUAUGCUUCCAUCACAGUAAGUUUAUUGCAGUGGUGACAAUGAGACCUGUAACAUUU